GUGUCCCUAACAGAUGAGGCUCUAGCUUUGGUACAGAGAGCUGAAAUUUUACUCUCUUUCUAAAGAUAACCAAUGAUCUGAUAUCGUCAUUUGGACUGCAAAAUACUAAUUUGGUGCUUAUUUUUUCUACUUGCUCCAGUGGCAGAUUGGUUUUCCUCUCUGCUUUAGAAUGCUUGGAAAAGGAGCCUGGAAAUGCCUCCCAAGGAGGAAGUGACCCAGUCUUUCUGCAGGGCAGAUGGCCAAGCCACCACCUGCCCCCUCCUGUUAACAUGGCUCCGAGCCUGGAUGGGAGGCCAGUGCCAGGCAGCUGGGGAUCUGGAGAGAAAAAUGCUUUCCGAAGUGUGAUAAACUGGAUCAAAGCAAUCAAAAGCAAAACAGAUUGAAAUCAACGCUUGACAAAGUUCUUGAACUGGUGAUUUGUUUCUGACACACUAAAUCUUCUCAAAGGCAUUGAAACUUGGGCAACUAUUUUUGACCUAAUCUGCCCUGCCUGGAAGGCAGCAAGUGAGGGCUCAAGUACUUGGGUUCCUGCCAUCUACAUCGGCUCCUGGCUCCUGGCUUUGCCCUGGCCCAAACCUGGCUGUUGUGAGCAAUCAGGGGUGAACCAGUGGGUGGGAGAACUGUCCGUCCGUCUGCCUCUGACUGCCUUUCUCUCGUUCUCUCUGCCUUUC
Lepus europaeus (European hare) is the source of this 671-nucleotide long non-coding RNA. RefSeq lists it as uncharacterized. The record is from RefSeq and is a predicted model, not a curated record. Lineage: Eukaryota; Metazoa; Chordata; Mammalia; Lagomorpha; Leporidae. The transcript has 3 exons.